This 5657-nucleotide unclassified non-coding RNA is filed under the name Portunus trituberculatus (swimming crab). Its description in RNAcentral is "aT-rich interactive domain-containing protein 2-like, transcript variant X1". Lineage: Eukaryota; Metazoa; Arthropoda; Malacostraca; Decapoda; Portunidae. The record is from RNAcentral.
GUGGCAGAGUAUUGGAACGCGUGGUGGUGAGCCGCUCUAACACUACUUAGCGCCGGUGUGUCCUGCUGCCUCCCUCCUCCAGUGUCCAGUGCGCCGCUCGUGACUCCCGCCCUGCCCUAGAAAUGUGCUCUCGGUGUUUUUGAGUUGUCGCUUUAGUGUGUUAUCACCAUGACUAAAGAAAUGAACAAGGACGCCGAGGCUUACGAUCGGGAAUAUGAUGGAUUUCUGAAGCAGCUUGAGGAGUUUCAUCAGCAGAGAGGGACGCCAUUCAAGCGCCUACCACGUAUUAAUGGCAAGGGAGUGGAUCUGUAUCUUCUCUACGUGGUGGUGACGGCGCGCGGCGGCUGGCAGAAGGUCAAUGCCCGAUGUGAGUGGGAAGACAUUCUUGAGGACUUCCGUCUGCCAGCUGCCUGUGUCAACUCUGCCACAGCCUUGAAGCACAUCUACAUCAGAUACCUUGAUGCUUAUGAACGCGUUAAUUUCCUCGGGGAAGAUGGAGAGGAGCGCGGAGCAGAGAUGGACGAAGGAGAGGACUCCAGACUGAUGAGGACCAAGCGGGCCAUCAGGUCCCUCAACACUGUCCCGCUCGCUUACAACCACCAGCAGCACAAUGUUCUAGAAUCCAUGAGAGGCAGCGGAGGCAUGUCAGUUGAUCUGUACAGACCCUCAUUGUAUGACAAGCUGGCCCUCUCCUUGGUGUCCCCGUUGCCAAAUGAACAUGAUUUUGCCUUCAAUGUGUGCACCAUCCUGAGCAAUGAGGGUCGUCAUGUGCUCCAGCUAUCACACUGCCCCAUCCUGGUGGAACACAUGCUGGGACACACUGGAGUGUACAGAGAUUGGGAAACUCAAAAGUUUUUCCUGACCAAUUAUAAAGAAGCCAAAGGAAGAAGCCUUAUACAGUUCUGGAUAGAUUCAGUUCAUGACCGGAGUGUUUUGGACCUCCUCAUCCCCUCUGGCCUGGACCCCAAGUCAUCUGCAGCUGAGGGGAAUGGGGAGCUGAGAAGAUACAGUCUCGUGGACCUUUCUAGUGGUGCUAUAGAUAAUAAGAAUUUGCUAAAUUUGAGUAGUGAUAGUCUGGAGUUGUUUGAUGAUAAGGAAGAAGUUGACGAGGAUGACACGUGUGACAACGCCUUCCUGCGGGAUGGGUGUAUGGCGGGUGGCACAGCACUGAAAAUUGCUGGCAGAAUAAACAGUGCUAAUUUUGACAGUUUAGGUGAGCCUGACUAUAGGAGAAUUCCUCCGUUGGAGAUAAUUACACAAGCCCUCCGAAGAGAUCCCAUCCUGAGGCGACUAGAGAAGGUCUUGGAGUGUGAAGGCAGUGACCUGAAGUUAGCAAAAGAUGAUGGAGAAAUAUUUCAUCUAGGAAGAGACCUUGGAUCACAGGACCCAGAAGGGACAAGAAUAAGCCAAAUUCUUCAUGUUAUUCGUAAUUUAUCAUUUGAGGAGCACAACGUGGGCAUUCUUGCAAGAUCCCACACCUGUCUAAAGUUUCUUGUCUUGUGCAUCUGUUCACGGUGGGGUGGGCUGGCUGUCAAUGCCUUGGACACACUGGGCAACAUAGCACCAGAGAUAACUCUUCAGGAACCAAAGCUGGACUCCUGCUCUGCCUUGUUCUUGUCCAAUAUCUGUCAUGGUGUGUCAUCACCCGACAGAGCAUUUGUCCUCAGGUCCCUUGAAAUCCUCAACAAGUUAGCCAUGAAUGAUCCCAAUGAGGAGAUCCUGAACCACUACAUAGACUCUUCGGUUUAUGAUCAGAUAUGUCGUUACCUGACAAUUCACGACAUCAUGCUGCUCAUAUACACCCUGGAGUGCCUGUAUUCUCUCUCCUCCCUUGGCACCCCGGCCUGCAAUGCCAUUGUGCGGGCCAAGGGCUCCAUCCACACCCUUAUCUCUCUGUUGACUGUAGAGGCACAAAGCUAUGGACCAGAGGCAUGCAUAGGAAUGAAGGUCGUGGAAACAGUAACAGGUGUUGUGAGUGAACCUGAACCUGUGAGUCAACCACCACCACCUCCCACCCCAGCUCCUGCCACAGUCCCAGUUACUACUGUAGGUGUGGCAGCUGUGACACCAGCCACGCCAGUAGUCGCCAUCAGUAAUCCUGUUGUCUCGGUGCCUGCAGGGUCCACUGUCACUCCUAAGACCCCCAUUGUUAAAUCUGUUUCCACUACGCCUGUAACUCCUGCACUUAGCUCGGAAGUUAGUGCUGGGCGAAUAGUUCCGCCUGAGGUGGAGGAGUUUGUCAAGGAUUGGGUCACUAAAAAUUAUGAGGCUGCCCCUGGUAAUGCCAUAGAACAGGCCAUUGUAUACCGUCACUUUGCAGCCUCCAUGCAGUCUUUGGGUCGCAAGCAAGGCCUCAACCCAGUGCUCUUAUCUAACUGUGUAAGGAAGGUGUUUGGGACUGGUGUUGGACCCAGCAGACGGCCAGUGGAUGCGGGCUCAGAGAAGUGGCACUACAAUGGCAUUCGACGGCGAGACGGCAUUGUGGUUCCUCCAUUGCCUGACAAGAAGAGGGGAAUGAGGGUCAACAAUUCCGUACCAGUUUACAGCCCGACGCCAGUUCUCCCUCCAGUAAACAGCAUCAGUGCCCAGGUGUCACGAAAUAUUCAAAAGCAGCAGCAGCAGCAGCAAACCACUGAUAACAGCCAAGAUAGUAGCAGUGAUUCUCAAGUUAGGAAAACAUCAUUUAAUGGAAUAUGUAAUGAGAUAAAGAAAUGUGAAGAGGACUCUAAUUCUCUACUUUCUAAUACUCUCAAUGAGAAGAAAGUAACAAGUUUUGAGGGGAUCUUACAAAAUGGUAUCAAAGCUGAAAUCGAUAUCAAGGAAGAGCAAGAACCUAAGGCCAAGAAGAACGUCUUAGCUGACCUCCUAGAAAAGACUGUUGGAGGAGACAUUUUGAAUGGGGUUGUGGAGCGCGAGUUAAGAAUUAGUGAUCGAAGCUUAGAGUUUGUUAACAAUGGCCAGCAAGUUAAAGUAAAUGGUCCUGUCACCAGUAAUGGACAGGCUGGAGCAGAAACUGGGCAAGGUGUGAAGAGGCCUGCCACUCCAGACAAUACUCCUGCCAAGAGGAUAGCCAUUGAGGACCCAAGAGCUGGGACAGAUAGUCGCAUCACAUUGUACGUUAGUCAAAAUGGAAAUGAGAGUGGGGAAGUGAUAUCUCAAGGACAUCAAGUGGUGCUGAGCCAAGGGCAGCAGCUGGCAACCACAAACACCACUGGACCCCAGCAGAUGGUAGUGAGCCAGGCUGUGUUGGCCGGGCAACAACAAGGAGCUGCCACACAGACUGUUGUCACCCCUCAAGGACAGGUGAUCCUCCAGCGGCCUGCCACUCAGACUGGAAUGAUUGUUCAGCAGGGUGGUCAGAUUAUUCAGGGGGCCACUGCUGGACAGGUUAUUCAACAAGUUAUACAGCAGGGACAGUCAGGACAGCCGCAGAAAGUCAUCUUACAUCAAGGACAAGUGUUGGGUGGCCAAAUGAUUCUCUCUCAAAACAGUAGUGGUCAGCACCAAGUACUAGUGCAGGGCGGGAAUAAUUUUCAGGGACAGGUGAUCAUGCAAGGUGUGCCGCACUGUCAGGGGCAAGUAUUUGUGCAAGGAAACAAUACUCCAGGUCAGUUGGUGAUGAGUAGUAAUCAAGGCCAGACAGUAGUGGUGUCUGGUGGCACUCAAGCACAGCAGCAAGUGGUAGUGUCGAGUGCUCAAGGCCAGGCCAUGAUAGUAGCUGGAAAUCAAGGUCAACCAGUGGUAGUAAGUGGACAGCAAGGUCAGAGUGGCCAAGUUGUGGUGCCUAGUAAUGUAAGUGGCACAGUACUGUUGGCUCCUCAGCAGCAAGGAUCCACAGCAAAGACCCUCAUUAUAUUGCCCAACCCUAAGAUGAUAGUGUCAGGGACUCAGCACCAGGGUGCUCAGGGCCAACAGUUGGUGCUACCCCGGCAGGUAGCUGGCCAGCAAGUUGUACAGGUGGUGUCCUCAACUACCACAGGACCAGUGGCUACUGUGUCAACUGCUGUGAGAACUGUGCAUGCCAGUGCCCCUGUAGCAGCAGAAACCUGUGCUACCCCUGCCCCUCCCACAGUCCAAAUUCAAACUUCUAGUAGUGGUAACAGCAGUGCCAGUGUAUCCACAUAUAGUGCUCAGAAUCCAACCACCCUAUCUACUGCCAUUGCUCCUGCCCCAGCUGGUCCCACAGCUGUUCCAGUGACACAGACUUCAGUGAGUCAGGGGCCUCAGACUCCCCAUAUCCCAGCCCCACAGGUGCUCUCCUCUGGUGUAGCAAGACGGCAGGGCAAACCCAGUGGUUUACAGUAUUUAUGUGAGUGGCGGGGAUGUAACCAGGUAUUCACCAGUGCAGCUCAAGUGUACCACCAUGCCUGCAAGAUCCACUGCCCUCCACACAUAGCAGAGAUCCAAUGCGGCUGGGCAGGCUGUGACCCCAUGGUGAGACGCCGGUUUAGUGCCAUGACUCACCUCCACGACCGGCACUGUAAUGAGCAGCUGCUUCAAAUUCUUGCUGUGAGACGAUCCCAGCUAGCCAGCACAGGCAAAACCGAAAUACCAGUCCCACAGACGCCACCUCCACACCCAGGUUAUGCCCCAAAUGCAGCCUUCCAUGCUAUCAAGAGGCAUGCCCUUGAGGUUAUUAAUCAGAGAGAUGCAGUGGAAAAAGAGGGACCGGUAACAAAAAGUAUCCGAUUGACUGCGGCGCUUAUCCUGAGGAACCUAGUCAUAUACUCCAAUACUGGAAAGAAGCUGUUGCGGGGAUACGAGUCAGAACUAGCCAACGUUGCCCUCAGCACAAUGGAAUCCUCACGAACGGUAGCGCAGAUCCUAUACGACAUCGGCCUUCCUGACCACCAGGGCUUAUAGGCAAACUUGAAUCCUUGCUGAGGACUCCUGAAGCAAUCCAACCUUCUUGGUAGCUGUAUGAGGGAUUCAAAACUAAGACUCCCCAGAACUCUUCCCUAGCAGAUGAAGAAGUGAACAAAAGGAGAGUUGGGACAUUUGGUAGCAUCCAGGCUGCAUCAGCCAUGUUGUGAAGUACAUAGGCAGGUACUUGAAACUGAGGGAAGGGGAAAAGAGCACCAGGCCUUACUGAAGAUGGUUUAGUCCACCCAACACUGCUGCUGCCAUGGUCUAAUCUGAUCUUUGUUAUUUAUUUAGUAAUUAACUUGCACUUAGAUGAGUUUGUGUGUGUAUGUGUGUGUGCUUGUGUGUGUGUGCAUGCAUGUGUACAUGUGUGUAUGUGUGUGUGUGUAAGUGAAGGGAAUGUUUUUGUACAUGGUGAUUGUCUCACAAGCUCCACAUCCCAGUGGUACCUUUGCAUCAUAUGACACAUGUUGGUGGGCACAAACUAUUAUACGUCCAAUCAGUCCUCCUUAGCCAGGUAAUACCUGACUAAUGGUUGUGUAUCUUCUCCAGCUCCCUGACAGGUGGUACCAAGUGCAGUGGGCAUGGUGGCAGUAGGCUCCUCUCUCCCACUUUCUUUACCAUUCCCAGUUGAACUUAUUCCUCCCUUCCCACCACCCACACCCAAACCAAUCUUUGUUUUUCUUUUUUUCCACCUUUACUGUUCAAACCACUGAUGCACUGAGCUGUGUCUUCUGUUACAACAACUCGCCAGACAUCAUUAUAAUUUUUUUAAUAAAAUAUUGUAAAUGUUA